UAAGUAUUUCUAUUAAUUGCCUUAUUUCAAAUCAGCAAGUGGAGCCAUACCAGUGUUGCACUAGCACUAAUGUUUAUGACUGACCGGGACAAGUCAACUAAAUGUUAGUAUUUUAGGUCACUGAUUGCCAAAGCAUUCAGAUCACUUAGCAUCUUUCAUUUUUGACUGAUGUCUCUGGUUUGAGUUGUGCAGGUCGACCAAGGUCCCAAGGCCGGGGAAGGUCAAUCAACCGUUCAUCGAGGUCCGUGGACCGGGACAGGUCAACCAGUCGUACACCAAGGUCCCAUGACCAGGGAGGGUCAACCAACUGUAAGUAUAUCUAUUAGUUUCAUAUCAGAAACUAGACACUAGUACAAUUGCUCUUGACUGACAACAUUUACAAGCAGAAAAUAUACCUGUUUUUGCCUUUAUUCUAAAAAGACCAUUAAUCAAAUUGUGUGAUAAAUUAUUUUAUUUAUUCAUUUAUUUAUUUGAUUGACAGCACUUCUUUUAAAGUAGAUGCGCUUCUCCUUCCCUACAAAAAUGUGGGCUUUUCAAAUGUGAAUGCAUUUCCAAUCCAGCCCUGCAAAGUGUUGGCUGAUUUGUGUGUCAAAAUGACUCUUGGGAAAAGGGCCUGUUGUUUCUGGUUUUUGUACAUACAUUCCAAUUCCAUCUGUUGGCUACACCACACUUUAUUUCUGUUCACUUAGAUCCUCCAAAGAAAAGGUCUUUACAUACUACAGAGAAGUUCCCCAUUCCAGAAGGGAGUAAGUAUAAAAAAACAAGAGAAUUUAAAUGUCUCACCUAAAGUUAUUUCCAACUGUUUAGCAAACCUGCAAACUUGUUGCUGUUUGGCGAAAAUCAAAGGUGUCAGUUUCUGUUGUUUUAAACCUGCUUAUUAAAGUGGAGGUAAGCUUAGAAUGCAGUGGCAGCUCACCUAUGGUGGACAGAACUUUAAGGUGUACUAACUAUUCUCAUUUUAGUGAAUCUAGCUGGUUUUAACUGAGUAUUUCCAAAGUUCUGGCCAGCCUCUUCCAGAAUUAUAAUUAUUUUACGUGUUUCUGAAAUGAUUGUUAAAUGUGGGAGGAUUUCUGCUAAUGUAGGGUUAUGUUUCCCUUAUCUUGUCAUUUUUUGGACAUGACAUGAAGUGCAUUUCAAUCUGUAUUUCUUAGACAUCACAGUGCUAACAGUCUCUGGGUGGUCUAGCCAUGUUUUUCAAUGUCUUUUUUCCUAAGAUUAUGUUCCCAAACUGUAUUUUGUUUUUUCUUUGGUCUUAGGAGUUGUAAGGUAUUCAGCCAAUUCAAUCUCUCUUUUUAGUCUUGGAUAAUAAACAGGUAAC
Epinephelus moara (kelp grouper) is the source of this 1318-nucleotide long non-coding RNA. RefSeq lists it as uncharacterized. The record is from RefSeq and is a predicted model, not a curated record. The transcript has 3 exons. NCBI's taxonomy places the organism in Eukaryota, Metazoa, Chordata, Actinopteri, Perciformes, Serranidae.